RNAcentral lists this ribosomal RNA (358 nucleotides) under Diplommatina sp. nov. AG MS-2010. RNAcentral's name for it is "SSU rRNA". It matches the Rfam family "Eukaryotic small subunit ribosomal RNA", at positions 53 to 402 of the family's 1831-position model. The record is from RNAcentral. Lineage: Eukaryota; Metazoa; Mollusca; Gastropoda; Architaenioglossa; Diplommatinidae.
GCAUGUCUAAGUUCCAACCCUCGUACGGUGAAACCGCGAAUGGCUCAUUAAAUCAGUCGAGGUUCCUUAGAUGAUCCUUUUCCUACUUGGAUAACUGUGGUAAUUCUAGAGCUAAUACAUGCGGACAAGCUCCGACCCUCCGGGAAAGAGCGCUUUUAUUAGUUCAAAACCAGUCGGGGCCUCGCGGUCCCGUCCUUUGGUGACUCUGGAUAACUUUGUGCCGAUCGCAUGGCCUCGAGCCGGCGACGCAUCUUUCAAAUGUCUGCCCUAUCAAAUGACGAUGGUACGUGACAGGCCUACCAUGUUGACUACGGGUAGCGGGGAAUCAGGGUUCGAUUCCGGAGAGGGAGCAUGAGAA